Long non-coding RNA from Glycine soja, 2176 nucleotides. RefSeq lists it as uncharacterized. The record is from RefSeq and is a predicted model, not a curated record. Lineage: Eukaryota; Viridiplantae; Streptophyta; Magnoliopsida; Fabales; Fabaceae. The transcript is spliced from 3 exons.
UAAAUAAAAAUAGUUUAUACUGGAUCAGUUGAUCCGUAUGCGUUACACGGAUCAUAUAACGCAUACGGAUCAUAUGAUAUGUAUGAAACCACACCUGACGAAACUCCAAUAGCAGCCAUUAAUGGAGACCAGGAAGCUUACCUCGACUAUGGAAGAACAAAAUGAAGCCGCAGGUCCUCAAUGCUGUUAAGGGAAGCAGCCAAUAGCAGCGCCGCCAAAGAAGAACCAGCAAGAAGACGAAGGCGCAGGGGCGUGGUCGCGAAUGAAGAAGACGAACACGCAAGGAGGGAGAGCGAAAGCAGCGUACGGAAGGUGAACAGUAACACUGCAUAGGUAGGGUAUUUUAAAUUUAAGUGAAAGACAUUUUUGUCACUUCACUUAAAUUGCUGGGUGCACCUAGCAGCACCCAACUUGGUUUGUGGCAUUGUGAUUUUGGGCCUACACAUGGUACUCUAAAUAAUUCUCAUUUCUGCUUGAAGUUAUCUAGGACACUAAUGCAUUGCAUGCUGUUGUUUUCAGGCUACUAGCAUUUUCUUUAGCUUCUAGCACCUUUGUUGUCGCUGCAACAAAAUCUGAUUAAGCAUCGGGUAAAGGAUCAACUCGGUUAGCCAUUAUGCCUGUUUAUAAAAGAAAUAAAUAUGGGAUUACUUGUGGUAACCGAUAUUGAGGAUAAUUGAAGAUUUCUGAACUUCUAUGCAAACUCUCGCUCACCAUAAAUUACAGACCGGAUACAGAGCAGAACACAUAAAACCCUUAAUUUUUAUUUAGAAGUAUGGAGCAAGUAAAGGCGAACAAGAGAUCAAACUCAAAAUUGGUAUUAUGGGCCUGAAUAUAAUUCACAUUCGGAAAAAUAUAUGAAUGAUUAAUUAAGUCCAAUGCUACAUGCUUAAUUUCCUUAAACAAGUCUCACGUUUGAAUUGUUUAUAAAAUCGAAAACCAUAUUCAAGUAUGAUUACUGUUUACAAGGUAAGAUGGAUACCUCUAGUCUGGACCAACAAUCUAAAGUUUUUGCCAAAACCACUUGCUCCAAAUACAGCAAAAUUAUAUAAUACAAAAUAUGCUAUGCAUCUUCUGAUUUGCAAGGCAAUAAGUUACGGUUGAACACAGCCAAGAAAUUUAGGUAUUCAACUUCUUUCUGGUGUAAACAAAACAUAUAAAUCGUUAACAUAAAGAUCUUCUGUUCAAUAAUUAUACGCCUUAUGACAAUGUCAAUUACCCUACUUGAUGCGUUCAACAUUUACUUACUAUGUCAUUUUACACUAUUUGUUAACCAGGCAAAUCUAGAAACUAAGGGGGGAAGGGAGAAAUUAUUCUUGUACACCAUAAGCAUAAAAGCAGUGAGGACAACUAAAUGAUAGCUCAUGUAGAGAUGAACCAGUGACAAAUAUGACACAAAACAACACACUUGAUUUAGUCACCAAAAUCACUUGAUCAGCCUCCAAACAAUUAACUGAAUUGAAGAUGCUGAUAUAGAAAUUGCCAAAACAGAAGAUACUACCAGCCCCAACUCAGCAAUAAAUGGAGACUUAUUGGCUGAGUGCUGUACCUCACCACAACACGGCCUGGCAUUACAAUUGCAACUCAUAAGCUCAGCCAAUUCUUAUCAUACCCUACUCAAGUUCAUUUUCAUACGGCUUGCAGGGUUCUACAUUAUCUCAAGAUCUGUCCAGGACGGAGUCUCUCUUUUGUCAGAAUUUCUCAUUACAAUUACGUGGUUUUAGUGAUGCAGAUUACUUGAGCAAACUUUCAAAGAACCAGAAGGGAAGUGGAGUUUGAACUGAGCUUGCUGCAUAAUAUAAUGAGCUUACAAGAUUCCAAACAAAAAACUUUCGAAAAAAAGACAUCAAAUUAGUUUGGGUAGCAUUUGUACAACAACAUUUCAAUUAUGUUUAGUUCUUUUAAUCCGUCUGAGUAAGACACAACUAAGAGAAGUUGUUACUGAUUUCAAUUACUGCUUUUACAAAUUACAAGUACUACCUCUCGGAUAGAUUGAAAAGUAUUUUUUUUCCUUUGUUAUUUUAAUAUUCAAACCUUGAAUCUGCAACAUGAUUUUACACAAGACUUGGCACAAAAAUGUGAAACCCUUAAACAGAGCAAUUGAUCGAAAGUCCCUGUGAAGCAUAUGUGCAGCCACUGCAUCAACUUAUAGUGUUGCAGUUCACUUAUAGUUAUUGCC